This 253-nucleotide ribosomal RNA is filed under the name uncultured bacterium. RNAcentral describes it as "partial 16S ribosomal RNA". It matches the Rfam family "Bacterial small subunit ribosomal RNA", at positions 524 to 776 of the family's 1533-position model. The record is from RNAcentral.
UACAGAGGCCCCAAGCGUUAUCCGGAAUCACUGGGCGUAAAGGGUGUCGAGGCGGUCAUGUUAGUCGUUCGUAAAAUCCCUGGGCUCAACCUAGGGCGCGCGAGCGAAACGGCAUGACUUGAGGUUGGGAGAGGUGCGUGGAACUCACGGUGUAGGGGUGAAAUCCGUUGAUAUCGUGGGGAACACCAAAGGCGAAGGCAGCGCACUGGCCCAAAUCUGACGCUCACACACGAAAGCUAGGGUAGCGAACGGG